CCCUUUCUGCGUGACGAGAGAGGACGGUAGCGCAGGAAUAAGUCUCGGCUAACUACGUGCCAGCAGCCGCGGUAAAAACGUAGGAGACAAGCGUUAUCCGGAGUUACUGGGCGGUAAAGGGCGUGCAGGUCGGUUUGUUAAGUUCGUUGUGAAAGUUCCCGGACUAAACCGGGGAAGGUCGACGGAUACUGGCAGACUAGAGGACAGUAGAGGCGUGUGGAAUUCCGGGUGUAGUGGUGAAAUGCGUAGAUAUCCGGAGGAACACCAGUGGCGAAGGCGGCACGCUGGGCUGUACCUGACGCUAAGACGCGACAGCAUGGGUAGCGAACGGGAUUAGAAACCCCGGUAGUCCAUGCCGUAAACGAUGCCAACUAGGUGUUCGCACUGCGAGAGCGGUGUGGGUGCCGCAGCAAACGCGAUAAGUUGGCCGCCUGGGGAGUACGGUCGCAAGGCUA
This 455-nucleotide ribosomal RNA is filed under the name uncultured Chloroflexota bacterium. RNAcentral describes it as "bacterial SSU rRNA". It matches the Rfam family "Bacterial small subunit ribosomal RNA", at positions 432 to 896 of the family's 1533-position model. Lineage: Bacteria; Bacillati; Chloroflexota. The record is from RNAcentral.